This is a non-coding RNA of Rattus norvegicus (Norway rat), 1160 nucleotides long. The record is from RefSeq and is a predicted model, not a curated record. NCBI's taxonomy places the organism in Eukaryota, Metazoa, Chordata, Mammalia, Rodentia, Muridae.
UAAAGGAAAGGACAAUGCAAAAAUGAAAUACUAUUCAAUCAAUUAAAGGUCUGUAGGGAAAACACUGGACUUUUGGAAAGAGAGAAAACCUAGGAAACUGAAGUGUAUGUCACAGGAAUGGACCAGGGAAUAGAAUUAUUAUCCAGAAUAAACUCCUCCUCCCCAUGUUCCUAGAUCUUUUCCACCCAUGGCAAGUGCCUGAAUAACUUUCUCCAUUCAGAGCAUGAAACCACUAAUGAAGCAAGAAGAAGUCUCUAGCUUUAGAGUGAUGGAGUAUGUAAAGUUUUCCCCUGUGUCACAGGAGACACUCCUGGAAAAGGCACUCUCAAAACUGGCCAAUGUAAGGAAAGCUUUUAAGCAAGUAGGCCAAGGCAGUUCUCAGAGACAUCAUCAUUAGGCCUUCCUGAAAAAUCUCUUUUAACCUGGAGAUCCCUAUCUUCUGUGAUGUCACAAGUGUUGUCCUGACAGCAACUGCCUCUCAGGUAUUCCUUCAGAACCUCUAGGGUUUAUUACUUGGUCUCUACUUCAGAGUAAACAUCAAUUUGGGAGGGUGAACAAAGAGGAUGAAGAGAUCAGAAAUGGGGAGAACGAAGGAAGCUGGCCUUCUGUCUUGGUAUAAAAAAAGGAAGAAAUACCUGGUCCUUGGUACAGCUCAGUCAAGAAUAUAUGAUCCACAAAUGACAAUGCCAAAUAGACUCCCUCCUGUUCUCAUAACAUACUGAAGUUGAGGUUUCACUGGACCUCAAGCCAUUCCUCUUGCUGCCCAUCACCCAGAAACUAAUGUUUGGCCUGAAGGAAGAAUCAUGGUAAAACAUCCAAAAUCAUCAAGUCUUUCCCUGGACAAACAGGAAGGUGCGCCGAGCUCUUGGAGAAGUUGCUGAACAUCCUAAAGACUUUUGGGCAGAUGAUGACAGAUAUCCUCCUAAUGCUUAACUGCGAUAAGCGAAGCAAGAAACACUUUGUGGUAUCUGUGUCAAGUACAUAUAAUCUCAACCUAAAAGAGGAAAACCUCUGGGCAAAUCCAAAUUCAGAGACAUUCUUGCAAGUUGUACAUAUGCUUGUUCACAUGUGCAACACAUGCAUGCCUACUGUCCAGGAGGUUGAAGAAGGUGUGAGGUUCCGUGAUGCUGAAAUUACAGCCACUUGUGAGCUGUCAACGG